RNAcentral lists this ribosomal RNA (505 nucleotides) under uncultured bacterium. Its description in RNAcentral is "partial 16S ribosomal RNA". It matches the Rfam family "Bacterial small subunit ribosomal RNA", at positions 28 to 507 of the family's 1533-position model. The record is from RNAcentral.
GACGAACGCUGGCGGCGUGCCUAAUACAUGCAAGUCGAACGCACAGUUUAUACCGUAGCUUGCUACACCAUAGACUGUGAGUUGCGAACGGGUGAGUCACGCGUAGGUAACCUGCCUGGUAGCGGGGGAUAACUAUUGGAAACGAUAGCUAAUACCGCAUAAUAUUAAUUAUUGCAUGAUAAUUAAUUGAAAGGUGCAAUUGCACCACUACCAGAUGGACCUGCGUUGUAUUAGCUAGUAGGUGAGGUAACGGCUCACCUAGGCGACGAUACAUAGCCGACCUGGGAGGGUGAUCGGCCAAAAUGGGACUGAGACACGGCCCAGAAUCCUACGGGAGGCAGCAGUAGGGAAACAUCGGAAAUGGACGACAGUCUGACCGAGCAACGCCGCGUGAGUGAAGAAGGGUUUCGGAUCGUAAAGCUCCGUUGUAAGGGAAGAACGGGUGUGAGAGUGGAAAGUUCACACUGUGACGGUAUCUUACCAGAAAGGGACGGCUAACUACGUG